UACGUAGGGGGCUAGCGUUAUCCGGAAUUACUGGGCGUAAAGGGUGCGUAGGUGGUUUUUCAAGUCAGAAGUGAAAGGCUACGGCUCAACCGUAGUAAGCUUUUGAAACUGUUAAACUUGAGUGCAGGAGAGGAGAGUGGAAUUCCUAGUGUAGCGGUGAAAUGCGUAGAUAUUAGGAGGAACACCAGUUGCGAAGGCGGCUCUCUGGACUGUAACUGACGCUGAGGCACGAAAGCGUGGGGAGCAAACAGG
This 252-nucleotide ribosomal RNA is filed under the name uncultured bacterium. RNAcentral's name for it is "partial 16S ribosomal RNA". It matches the Rfam family "Bacterial small subunit ribosomal RNA", at positions 524 to 776 of the family's 1533-position model. The record is from RNAcentral.